RNAcentral lists this long non-coding RNA (841 nucleotides) under Capra hircus (goat). Its description in RNAcentral is "lncRNA (ENSCHIG00000006109.1)". Lineage: Eukaryota; Metazoa; Chordata; Mammalia; Artiodactyla; Bovidae. The record is from RNAcentral.
CCCAAAACCCCGGAAUGCUACAUGGUUCCCCCUUAUCCUCUCAUUUCCCAAUAUAAAAAGAAGACAGAGUGACACUUUGAGCUUGAGCUUGUGAUUGCAAAUGUACUUUUGUCAUUUGGAGGGCAAAGCUAUUGCCCACGAUUGCCCUUCCAGAGCACUGGACCAGGAGGAGCUGCUGGUUGAAGGAACCAUGUGCACGCUGCUGACUGGACAGAUAAAUCCUGGGUGUGUGAAGAGGAAACCAGCAUCAACAUUAUGCUGACAUGUACCCUGAAGGAUGGAUUCAGAACUUUCCAGAACCUCACAGGAAGGCAACAAGGGACGUCAGAAGAGUCACUGGGAUCCCCGGUUGGACGAAGCUGCUGGUGCAGAGGGGAGGAUGGCAUCACUGGUUCCAAGUCUGGGAAUGGUCAUCACGGAGACAGCAAGUCUCGCGAGAACAACGCCUGAGACCAGUGGCUGCUGCUCCGGCUCUUGGCCCAUCUCCCUCCCUAUGGCCCUUUGGUGAACUCUCUGGGGCUCUGGAGCCAGGGAAGCUUGGACUGCAAACUCCAGCCCUGGCCCAGAUGUUGGAUCUUCGAUCUUAGUUGUGGCACACAGGAUCUUUAAUUACACCAUCCAAACGCUUAGUCACUGCAUGUAAGAUCUAGUUCCCUGACCAGGGCUCAAACCUGGGCCCCCUGCAUUAAGACCUCAGAGUCAUUGGAACCAUGAGGGAAGGCCUCAUUUAAGGAAAUUAUUGAAAGGUAUGUACUUAGGUCAUUUUGUUAAGUGUUUGGAGAUUGUUUUCUUUUGUCUCUUGUGCUUUGAAGACUACGUUUUUCUACCUUCCUUUUUUCUA